ACGAACGCUGGCGGCGUGCUUAACACAUGCAAGUCGCACGGAAAGGCCCUGCUUUUGUGGGGUGCUCGAGUGGCGAACGGGUGAGUAACACGUGAGUAACCUGCCCUUGACUUUGGGAUAACUUCAGGAAACUGGGGCUAAUACCGGAUAGGAGCUCCUGCUGCCUGGUGGGGGUUGGAAAGUUUCGGCGGUUGGGGAUGGACUCGCGGCUUAUCAGCUUGUUGGUGGGGUAGUGGCUUACCAAGGCUUUGACGGGUAGCCGGCCUGAGAGGGUGACCGGCCACAUUGGGACUGAGAUACGGCCCAGACUCCUACGGGAGGCAGCAGUGGGGAAUAUUGCACAAUGGGCGGAAGCCUGAUGCAGCAACGCCGCGUGCGGGAUGACGGCCUUCGGGUUGUAAACCGCUUUCGCCUGUGACGAAGCGUGAGUGACGGUAAUGGGUAAAGAAGCACCGGCUAACUACGUG
RNAcentral lists this ribosomal RNA (467 nucleotides) under uncultured bacterium. RNAcentral describes it as "partial 16S ribosomal RNA". It matches the Rfam family "Bacterial small subunit ribosomal RNA", at positions 29 to 507 of the family's 1533-position model. The record is from RNAcentral.